RNAcentral lists this ribosomal RNA (312 nucleotides) under Paenibacillus sp. 796(2010). Its description in RNAcentral is "bacterial SSU rRNA". It matches the Rfam family "Bacterial small subunit ribosomal RNA", at positions 69 to 371 of the family's 1533-position model. The record is from RNAcentral. Lineage: Bacteria; Bacillati; Bacillota; Bacilli; Caryophanales; Paenibacillaceae.
UGAUGGAGUGCUUGCACUCCUGAUGGUUAGCGGCGGACGGGUGAGUAACACGUAGGCAACCUGCCCUCAAGACUGGGAUAACUACCGGAAACGGUAGCUAAUACCGGAUAAUUUAUUUCACAGCAUUGUGGAAUAAUGAAAGACGGAGCAAUCUGUCACUUGGGGAUGGGCCUGCGGCGCAUUAGCUAGUUGGUGGGGUAAUGGCUCACCAAGGCGACGAUGCGUAGCCGACCUGAGAGGGUGAACGGCCACACUGGGACUGAGACACGGCCCAGACUCCUACGGGAGGCAGCAGUAGGGAAUCUUCCGCAA